This is a non-coding RNA of Phalacrocorax carbo (great cormorant), 5663 nucleotides long. The record is from RefSeq and is a predicted model, not a curated record. NCBI's taxonomy places the organism in Eukaryota, Metazoa, Chordata, Aves, Suliformes, Phalacrocoracidae.
AAAUAAUUGAGGAGGGCCCCGCAGACCAUGCGUCUGUUGAGCCUUGGCUCUAAGAUUCUGAGACAGAAGCAAAUCAGCCUGGUCAAUCCAUAGGGGACAUGAUGGUCAUUUGAGAGGCAGCAGCUGAAAGUUAUGAGCACUGUCUCUGCUUAGUGGUGCCUGUCAGCAGCCUGCGUCUCAGCAGGACUUUUCCCUCAACUUGCCCUGCACUUAUUAUGCUUCUCUUCAGGAUCCAAGGGACAUGAGCUGAUUCUCUCCUCUGUCAGAGGGAGCUUGGAAGUUUUAUCCUAUUUGCAAGACUAUCCCCUUCAUCCCAGGCAAGAAAAUCUUUCUUGAACUCUUCAUGGCCUCUGCCUCUGCCAGCUCGCACUCAUGGAGACAUCUGACAGUCUGGCUCUUCUCGUUUUGAGGCAGCCAGUCUGUCCCUCACUGACCACUCCCCUCCUCAACAAGAAUCUACAUCUGCCUCUGUGCAUACCAGCAGCACUGAGAUGUGGGAGUAGCUUGCAGCAGCAGGCCUAUACAUCUGAGGCCACGAGUAAGGCUGAAGCGACAGGCAGCAAGCAGCCAAGAGAGGUGCUGCUACACUCGGAGAACAACAGCCCCCCACAGCCAACAGAGCUGAGACAUUGGCAGGGUCUGCUGUAACCGAUACAAAGAAAACCCAUCCCAGCCAAAGCUGGACUCUUGGCACAUCUGUAACUGCUGAAAGAGUUAUACAAUUUGAAACAAAAAAGCAUUUUUAAGGCCAGUGGGGAGGAGGAGGCUUCUGCCUACAUAAAACCUGUCAUGCACUAUGUACACAGACAUUUAUAUUUCAGUGGCGUUGGUGAUAUAACUUUUCUUUUUAAAAGUAUGUGCAUGUGCUGUAAUGAAAGUUACUGGGAAUGGAUAUGCAGCUGGAAAAAUGUGGUCAAGGUUCAACUUUUCAGGUCUAUUCAUGCCUGUGAAUUAAUUUAGCUUGCCAUUUUAUGAUUUUAAGUUAUGAAAUGUUCAUGCAAAACAUUAACAGCUAAAACAAUCCAAGAAACAGUCUAUUAUGCCAAAGUCUAAUCAUUAGACAAUAAUUAGGCUGUCAUUUACAAAACAUAGCAUUUGUGAUAUUUCCAAAUGAAGCAACAGACAUGCCAUGUGUCAAAAACAGGGAUUGGUUCAGACAGGUAAGAGCCUCUUUAUUUGACAGUUGCCAGCUUAAUUAUCUGAGCAAAUUAAAGCCUUGUUCCAUUGUGCCAGUGAACCCUGGUUUGAAAGAAGAGCUUACAGAGACAUUCUCAGUACAAGCCCACAGAUAAUAAAAGAAAAAAAUGCUAAGAAUACAGUAGAUUUUUCCCUUGAAUUUCAUCAGAGUGACAGAUUCUUGUUCAUCUUAUUAUCUGAGACCUCAAGACAUUCCUUUAACACAUACACCAGCAGAAGUUAAAUAUCACAACAUCCUGAAGAGCUUUGUGAAGCCUGUUUUAUGGCUAUUGAAAGUGAGGCACAUAUUAAGUCCAGCGUUUUUUAAUAACAACCAUGGAAGUCAUGUGACAAGAUGCAUUUUCAGGGUUAAAAUAUUAAAUCAAUAGUUUGCUAGGUUAGGGGCCCAAAGUACACUCAGCUGUCGAUGUGCCCAUGUUUUUUAUUCCUAGGCUCAAGUUAAUCUUUUACUCAUGUUUACCCACUGACAGAUCCUCACAGCCUGCUAGCUGGGAGAGGUAGAAAAUUAAGAUGCACUUAAGUCAUUGCACUCAUGCACAUUGUUUUACUGGUAUAAACAUAGAUAAACCAUUUAAGCUCAAGUGUGGAAACAGUAACGGAUGCUGGUUUUGUGUGACAUAAACAAAGAUAGUGAUAUUUUACAUUCAAAUAUGCCACUUUGGGCUCACACAGCAGCUUGUUUGUGGCUGAACUGUCCAGCCUGACAGCAGGAAAAACAUCUUGCAGCCCUGCAUGUAACUGUUGCAGCAGGUAUUUUACAUUUUGCGUAAUGAUGAUAAAACCUUUGCAUUUACAGAUUAAGAAUUACUUAAUAAAGACACAAAUGCACAAUUUUCAGCAGUGAACAAAUGCUAUUCCUCUAAUGGGCAAAAAAAAGCAUGGUCUUUCCUCAGUGUAGAGACCUGCUGUCUUUCCUGAGAACAUCUAUGUGAGCCUGCAGGUUUCAUUUCAGGUAGCAGCAGAACUCACCUUGGGAAAGAUUAACAUUUAGUACUGUAAAAGGAAAGACUUGUUAGAGAUCAAUAUUAUCUCUAUUCAUAGUUUUAUGAUAAGUUUUGCAAUGUUUUUUUUUCUUAUGAGAUCAGUCUUGGAAGUAUGCCUAUGGCAUUCUGAGCUUUUAUUUAAAAAAGUGGAGUAGACACCUAUGUAACUAGAGCUCCUGCCCACAGAUAGGCUUGAAUGUCUGACCAAAAACGGGUCUCCCUCAAAAUAUCAGAAAACUUUUUUUCUUAAAAUGGUUUUUGAGUAUUGAUAGUCAGUUCUUAGACUCACAGCCCUGUAUGCAGAUGCACAUAUACUGUACUUACCCGUUCAUAGAUGUAAACAUGAGUUUACCUGAUAAGCAAAUACUGGGGGUGUUUUCCAGUUUGAUAUACUCAGAAGCCAGCAUUAAUGCUUUGGCAGUUGCUGCCAGAAACAAGCAGCCCACCCACUGUAGCCAUUUUAAAGGCUGACAGAUACAGCUUUAAGUACCAGCAAGCUGUAAGACAAAGUGAGUAAUUUUAUUGCCUCACACAAGACCUAGCACCAGUUGCUAGUGAGUCUGUGUUUCUCAGAAAUGUUUAUUUGGACAAACAGUUGCUCAGACAUUUAGGCACUGUAUAGACAUUUAGGAAUUUCUUUUAUUUUGUCAACAUGCCUUUUAUUUUAUAUAUCAACCUAUGUAGAGUCAUGCUAAACUUACACAGAUAUUUGGCAGAUACUCUAAGAGUAGAUUCUGUGAAAUCCCACAUAAAUUGGGAAGGGUAAACACUGCAAAGGACAGAAAAUACUAUUCAAACAUUUACUGAAAGUUAAAACAGAGGAACAAAAAAGACAUUAUCUAUGGCAUUUAAACAUCCCCAGUAUAGGCACGUAUAGGGGUUUUGCAGUGGUGAAAUGCACUUAUGCUCACAGCACCAUUUAGCGGUAGGAGGUUAUACUGCCUCUUUUUCCAUAGAGCAGGAAAGUAAGCACAGGCUUCUCAAAUCUUUUACUAGUACCUCAAGCCAUCACUCUUGUAUUAUAACUAGAAACAUACAAUGUAAACAAUUCUGGGGAAUGAGAUACUGCCAAAUGAGGACAAAAGAAGAAACAUGUAUAAAGAAAGAGAGGAAGGGAGAGAUAUGGAAAAAGAUUUUGAAAGAAACACAGAUAAGACAGUCGAUGUGACUUUUUUGUGCAAUAUGGUAACAAGAAAAAAUUCAAUUACAAGCCGUGGGGCAUUAGGUCAUGAAGAAGAGAGGUUGUAUAACCCUGUCCAUACGGUUCUGGUGGGAUCAUACCUAAAAAACACAUUUGGUUGUGAGCAAUUCACUAUAAGGAUUAUUGUGCCAAACUGGAAUAGAUUCAGAGAACAGCUAAACAAUUAUUAAAUGGUUGAAUUUAUGAGGAAAGAUAAAACAGCUAAAUAUAUACAUAGCUUGGCUAUGAGGUAUCUAAAGGGAGACAUUAAUUGUCUGUUAGUACAGUAUUCAAAGGUCUAAAUGUCAAAGAGGUUGAAAAAUCAUACGAAUUAUUUAGUGAGAUAUUAAGAGGAUGUAGCUAAGGCUAAAGAAAUGAAAUAGUCUCAAGUGAUAGAGCUUGAGAAAGGCUGGCCCUCAACCAUGUAAUAUAUCAAUACAGUCUUUAGUUUAAUGGCCAUGUUAUCUGUCUGUAGGUUUAUCGAGAAUACAUGUGUGUAGGCUAGGGAGCAGUAAGGAAGGCAGUAAAGGCAGUUUCACUCCAAAAUUAAUUUGUGGCUAAUAAUACUCAAUUUAUGCUCUCAGUGAACAAAUGACAUGAUUUAUGUAUAUAAAGUUUUCAAAUCCUUGUAGAAACAAAGUGUUUGGUAUAAGGACUACAGCAUUUAGCUAUCAAAAAUUGGAGUUUCUGCACUGCGAUUUGCAUGCGGACUACACAUUCAUUGCAAACUCUGAUAUUAGCGUUUCCAUUACUGGUUCGCAUCUGCAGAAAGUACAUAUGCAGUACAACUGAAUAAACUUAAACUGUUCAGUGGAUUUAAAAGAAUGUACUUUCCUGCCUACAGGAUUUUCCAGCAUGAGAAAGAAAUCUCCAGAGGUUUUUCUUUUGUUUCCAUGUAAGAUGGAUGAAACUACACAAACACAGAGACCCCAAACUCAUUUAAUCUCCCCUCAUUCCCUGGCAAAGAGUGUAUAAAACUUUGGAGAUCUUUGGUUCUGCUAAAAAAAUAGACUUCAUCCAUUUCCUCUGUGUUGUUACGGUUUUUAUCUAUGGUGCUUUGGAUGGAAGUUGCCAAACAACAUCUGUGUUGCUCAUGAAAAACAAAUGAAAAUGUUUUCAAUUUGUUUAGGUCAGCAAAAAACUAUAUUUUCACGUGAAAUAGUCCUUGUUCUAGCAGCUAUCUGAUGAAGAAAUGACUCACAAACACAUGAAUCAGAAUUGCUCCCAGUGUUUUGCUGCCUCGGGUGAAAUACCAGCCAAAAUACCCAUUCAGUUUUUUAUCAUGUUUGACAAGUUAAUUUAAGAGUGCUUUCUAUUCAGUCAGAUAUUUGUGAGAUAAUUUGCAUUUUUGUUUUUGCUGCGCUUUCUGCUCUUAUUCUAUUGUCUUCGUGCUCCAGCAUGUUUCUUUCCUCUUGUUACAAUUAUUUCCUUAGUCCCAGGGACUGUUUUACUGGAGUCCCAUAUCUUCUGGUGCAUGCCAUCCCAGUUGUCACACAUUGUCACCUAGUGAGACGUGAGGCUCAUGAAUGCACUUACCCUUGAAUGAAGGGUACCCUGCACCUUGGCACUUUAAGGGCCUGGGAUUUAUGGGAGAGUUAGAGUGAUAUGAUGGUGAAGGAAAGAUCUCUAAAGAGGGAGAAAAGGCAAUAGCUUCAGCUGCAAAACCCUCUUUGUCCUGUUUUUAUUUAAUUUCAAUGAUCCUUGAUGCUUGUACUUUAGUAUCUGCAAUCUCUACUUCCUAUCUUUGAAAUGCUGCCUCUCCAAAUCUGAAAGCAUAGAAGACCUUGCAAUCCAAUCUUCUGGUGGCAGAUAGGCGCUCCUUCUCUGCCCUUCACUUAUAAAUAGGCAGGAAGGACCAUCCCAAUAAGAGUCUUCUGACCUUAUUGGCUCUGCAGGAACAGCUGAGACAUGACUGAUAGAGAUCACCCAAAUGUCACAUUUUGGAAACGCUUUAAAGUAGUUGCUGGCAGAAAAGCUCUGCCUCAUCCCACAGGAUUUUGGUUUAACAAAAGCUCCCAGUUCCAUGAUAUAGAAGAUACAGGUGUGAGACAGGUGUGAGAGCACAGAGCCUUUUUGUGAGUUAUCAGCUUUAAACUUCAGGUCAAAGGUCUGAAACUAAUACAUGUCACAAAAUCACAGAAUCACAGAAUGGUAGGGGUUGGAAGGGACCUCUGGGGAUCAUCUCAUCCAACGCCCCUGCUUGAGCAGGGACACCUAGAGCAGGGGGGACAGGACAACAUCCAGGUGGGUUUUGAAUGUUUCAGAGAAGGCGACUCCACAGCCUCCCUGGGCAGCCUCUUCCA